RNAcentral lists this long non-coding RNA (421 nucleotides) under Oryza brachyantha (malo sina). Its description in RNAcentral is "long non-coding RNA (OBRA_LNC000222)". Lineage: Eukaryota; Viridiplantae; Streptophyta; Magnoliopsida; Poales; Poaceae. The record is from RNAcentral.
AAUGUUCUAUGGAAUUGGCAAAAAGACGUUCAACUUAGGCUAAAAACUCAAGCUUUCGUGGUAGUGGCAGCUUUGUGUUGGGUGGUUUGGCUACGUAGGAUGAUGCAACCAAUACUAUUUGUUUAUUGCAUGUAAUUUUCAGGAGGACUUUUUGGACACGACUGUGGUCGGUGCUGCUUAAGGAACAUAGCCAGAAGAUAAAAGAAUGGUGAAACAUUACAGAUAUCUUUGUUAAUUUUUUUAGAGAAGGGUAUUUUACUGAAUAUAUGCAGCUAUUUUUUUUUAUUUUAGAAACUCUGGGAACUUAGCCCAAGUAGGGAUCUAGCCCCUCAAAUACCCAAAUUCAUGCUCCUAUGGAGAUUUGAACCAAAGACCUUGGGUGCUACUCAGGUCACUAUAACCACUAGGCUAUGUACCCUUU